Long non-coding RNA from Cyprinodon tularosa, 1124 nucleotides. RefSeq lists it as uncharacterized. The record is from RefSeq and is a predicted model, not a curated record. Lineage: Eukaryota; Metazoa; Chordata; Actinopteri; Cyprinodontiformes; Cyprinodontidae. The transcript has 4 exons.
AAGCAGUAUUUAAAAGUAUUGGGAUUGAACUUGCUGUCUCUCAAGUAUUGUGGCUGCAAAGGUCAAUGACAGCAGAAUGGAAGAGGAACUGAAUACUUGCAUCUCAAAGACACAGCAAUUGUUGUCAGAGGCUGAGUCCCUUCUGAAAGACAUAGAGGAGAUGCUUGACUGGUUUCCAAAAAAGAUUCCCUCCAGCAAUGCAUUGGAAGGUCAGGCAGACGUAGAAGAGGUCCCAGAAAUCUCUAUCAUUGACAACUUCUGUUUUGUGAAUGCAGCAACUGAGGAGGCCCUGAUGGAACAGAACUGAAUGCAUGAUCAGUUAAACUUUUUGAAGUUUGUGAUGUUUUAAUUUUUAAUUUUAUGUUUCUUUAUUUUGGAACCGAGUUAGUCAGAGUUGGAGCUUAUAUUUCGCUCAGUCUUGUUACAUUUCUAAUCCUCCUUCAUUUAUGUUGGAUUAUUUUGUUAUACAGUUAGAGAUACAACUUCACCAUCUUAACAGAAUAAGAUAUAAAAAAAAAUGACAUGGGUUAAUUUGUCAAUAUCUGUGGAGGGUUUGAGGUUCUAUGAAGACAGAGCAGUUUGUACAUUCCAAACAUCCCUGUAGCACCUCACAUCAUCCUGGGUGACACAUGAACAUAGUUUUUCUCUCUUCUACAACGACCUAUAUGCUGGGUUCAAAGAAAUAGCAUGGGGAUCUAACACUCCCCCCCAAUAGUUAUUUCCCAGUUACUUUAUAGGAAUUAUUUUUAAAGAUCCAUAACAGACAUCCAGGGUCUUACUUCCCCUUAAUGGGCAAUUAAAAUAUUGCGGGAAACUGCUAAAUGACUCUCUCCAAUUACAGUGAUUAAAGUCUCCCAUUAUGAAAUUUGGGUCAUUUGGAGCAAGAGCCGAUUAGUACUAUUUGUGUACAACUUUGACGGUGUAAAACUUUAUGGAUAACAUUAUCAGCAUAUUUAAUUUUGGUCCUAGGAAUAAUCAGAGGAAAUUCACAAGGGAGAAGAAAGGGCAAACUAAUACAGAAAGGAGCUCAAUGUCCACGGUGCAAAUGUUCUCACUACUGGUCACAUUGUGACUACAAUGCUGGUCUAUGCAGACAGGAUAGGAGAGGCUUAGUCAUAGCCUCA